CAAAUUAUAGCUUAUACAAAGUAUUUUAUUUACAUUAAAAAGAAAUUUUUUUUAUUAAUUUGA
This 63-nucleotide transfer RNA is filed under the name Lymexylon navale. RNAcentral's name for it is "tRNA-Val". Lineage: Eukaryota; Metazoa; Arthropoda; Insecta; Coleoptera; Lymexylidae. The record is from RNAcentral.